CAGCAGCCGCGGUAAUAAAGAGGGUGCGAGCGUUAAUCGGAUUUACUGGGCGUAAAGCGUGCGUAGGCGGCUAAUUGAGUCGGAUGUGAAAUCCCCGAGCUUAACUUGGGAAUUGCAUUCGAUACUGGUUAGCUAGAGUGUGGGAGAGGAUGGUAGAAUUCCAGGUGUAGCGGUGAAAUGCGUAGAGAUCUGGAGGAAUACCGAUGGCGAAGGCAGCCAUCUGGCCUAACACUGACGCUGAGGUACGAAAGCAUGGGGAGCAAACAGGAUUAGAUACCCGGGUAGUCCCUGUCUCUUAUAC
Molecule: ribosomal RNA, 301 nt
Filed under: uncultured bacterium
Lineage: Bacteria
Description: partial 16S ribosomal RNA
Rfam family: Bacterial small subunit ribosomal RNA
Source: RNAcentral